RNAcentral lists this ribosomal RNA (492 nucleotides) under uncultured bacterium. RNAcentral describes it as "partial 16S ribosomal RNA". It matches the Rfam family "Bacterial small subunit ribosomal RNA", at positions 30 to 507 of the family's 1533-position model. The record is from RNAcentral.
AUUGAACGCUGGCGGCAUGCUUUACACAUGCAAGUCGAACGGUAACAGGCCUUCUGGUGCUGACGAGUGGCGAACGGGUGCGUAAUGCAUCGGAACGUGCCCAGAGGUGUGGGAUAACGCAGCGAAAGCUGUGCUAAUACCUCAUGUGAUCUGAGGAUGAAAGCGGGGGACCAGGCAGCAAUGUUUGGCCUCGCGCCUUUGGAGCGGCCGAUGUCAGAUUAGGUAGUUGGUGGGGUAAAGGCCUACCAAGCCGACGAUCUGUAGCUGGUCUGAGAGGACGAUCAGCCACACUGGGACUGAGACACGGCCCAGACUCCUACGGGAGGCAGCAGUGGGGAAUUUUGGACAAUGGGCGAAAGCCUGAUCCAGCAAUGCCGCGUGAGGGAAGAAGGCCUUCGGGUUGUAAACCGCUUUUGUACGGAACGAAAAGGCUCUGGCUAAUACCUGGAGCUGAUGACGGUACCGUAAGAAUAAGCACCGGCUAACUACGUG